RNAcentral lists this long non-coding RNA (1219 nucleotides) under Phascolarctos cinereus (koala). RNAcentral describes it as "lncRNA (ENSPCIG00000020628.2)". The record is from RNAcentral. Lineage: Eukaryota; Metazoa; Chordata; Mammalia; Diprotodontia; Phascolarctidae.
GUUUUUUAGAGUUGACUUUACAUUGCUCCUGGCUAGUUUUGCACACAGGCAGUGUCACUCUAGUCCUGCUGUUGGAAGAAAUUUUCAAGUGGAUUUUAUCUGCAGUGCAUUAAUGCAUGGCCUAAAUUCCUGCGGAGGCAUAAGAUAACCAGUCUGGACAUGUCUUCCCAAUCAUAACUGGAGCCAGGCCGCUGAUGCUUCAGCUUUACUCAGCGUAGAUAAAUGGCUUUUCAGAAAAUGCUUUUCUAGUUAAACCCCAGGACUUGUGUCUCAGAGAGCCACAAGUUCAGAUGGCUUGUAAUUAGCCCAUAUUCACCAUGCCGAGAUAACGCACACAAAUGGGGAUUUAUUAGUAAGGGUAGGUUUAACUCUAAUCUCCUUUUAUAACAAAAGGUUCUGUAUUUUAAGGUUCAUGGGAUCACUUAGAAUCAGUCUAAUUUUCAAAAGUGCAAAAUAGUAAUGCCUUUCAAAAUCAGGAAAUAUGAAAUGUGAUCCCAGUAAUGUGAAAAGCAUCUGAAGCUGUAUUGCAUGGGAAACUGGAGGGUAUUAUGCGAUUUAAUGUGGAUUAGCAUACAUAAAUGAUUUCAAUUAAAAAUUAUUCAGCUCUAGAACUGAAGAGUUGAUCACAGCUGCAUGAAAAAUACCCAUUAAUCACCUAAUGCUUUAUGCAAAUGGCUGUAUUUGACUUUCAUUUGGGUUUGCCAUUAGCACAUGGAACCAGGAGAUUGAUAGCAGGUAAAAUUUAAUGGAUACAGAAAUUAGAUAUUUAAAUUAAAUUUGGGCUAAUUUACAGUACUUUUAUUCAUUACUACAAGUUUUCUUGCAAUCUGAAGACCCCCAUCACGUGGCAAAGAAUAGAGAGAAGAAAGAGACUGCUUGACAGCUUCUCAAGGAUGACAGACAUCGGGAAGAGCUUGGAAGAUCCGGGAUGGCCUGGGCUCAACAACUCUCUGCUUCAAUGAACAUUUUCCAAAUCUUCCCAAGGCCAUUAUGGAAAGGAACCAAACCAAAUGCCUUCUGCACCUGAUGAGGAGGAAAUGGAAUCAAUUUUCUUCUGCCUCCAACUUUGAACGUUGAAAAGCAAACGCAGAAGGCAGAUCCGACAGGGGUCUGACUGUGUGAGAAGCUCAACAGUGUUGUAUUUCAGGAGCUUCUGCUGAGAUGGAAUUGCUUCGUAAUUUUAAAUUCUUACAAGGUGCAGAUAAAUGCAUCUGUUGUG